ACCGCGAAGUUAGCUCGCCCCGCGACAGACCAGAUCGCGCGUGUGUGUGUUCGCGUGAACACGCACGCUAGAGUGACGAGAUUGUAAAAAUCGCGUCGCUCGAAGCUGACGAUUCGUUCGCACUGGCGCGCCGCCGUCUUCGAGUAUCCGUAGUGAUGCUCGUGUAUGGGCGGACGGUCAGCGUUGUGUGUCGAACGUUCGUUGAAAUACACGGCGCCCGACGCCGAGAAACUAGUUCGUUCACGAACACCGUGUUCGAAAACGUUGCCGCGUAAAGUGGUAGAGUGCGAAGACCGCGUGUGCGUUUACACGCACACGUCGAUGAUACGGUAGCUGUCGCGGAGAACGUCGGAUGAACGGGCAUCGAGAGUCCUUAGUCGGUUUCAUACGAUGCGAAGACGCUUCUCGAUUAUAGAGUCGACAGUUUGCCGUUUUGUUUUUCGCGUAAUUUCUCUACCACGUACGACGUUGUACGUGCGAUUGCGCGCGCGUUCGCGUCGUUAUUCCGGCCGUUGUCGACGAAUUCGCUCACGCGUCACUGUACGGACGCGAUGAUGACGAUCGAAAACGGACACAUUCGGAAGACGAUUGCGAGCGUGCGACAAUUCGCGUUAUAYGUACUCCGUGCUGUG
RNAcentral lists this ribosomal RNA (632 nucleotides) under Planococcus vovae. RNAcentral's name for it is "partial large subunit ribosomal RNA". Lineage: Eukaryota; Metazoa; Arthropoda; Insecta; Hemiptera; Pseudococcidae. The record is from RNAcentral.